GACGAACGCUGGCGGCGUGCUUAACACAUGCAAGUCGAACGGUAAGGCCCUUCGGGGUACACGAGUGGCGAACGGGUGAGUAACACGUGGGUGAUCUGCCCUGCACUUCGGGAUAAGCCUGGGAAACUGGGUCUAAUACCGGAUAGGACCACUGCCUGCAUGGGUGGUGGUGGAAAGCUUUUGCGGUGUGGGAUGGGCCCGCGGCCUAUCAGCUUGUUGGUGGGGUGAUGGCCUACCAAGGCGACGACGGGUAGCCGGCCUGGGAGGGUGACCGGCCACACUGGGACUGGGAGACGGCCCAGACUCCUACGGGAGGCAGCAGUGGGGAAUAUUGCACAAUGGGCGCAAGCCUGAUGCAGCGACGCCGCGUGAGGGAUGACGGCCUUCGGGUUGUAAACCUCUUUCAGCACCGACGAAGCGCAAGUGACGGUAGGUGCAGAAGAAGGACCGGCCAACUACGUGCCAGCCGCCGCAGUAA
This 478-nucleotide ribosomal RNA is filed under the name uncultured bacterium. RNAcentral describes it as "partial 16S ribosomal RNA". It matches the Rfam family "Bacterial small subunit ribosomal RNA", at positions 28 to 523 of the family's 1533-position model. The record is from RNAcentral.